CAAUAGCAUAUAUUAACGUUGUUGCAGUUGAAAAGCUCGUAGUUGAACUUUUGGUAGGAGCGACCUGGCCUUGGGCGCAUGCCCUUGUUUGCCGUGUGUCGUAUCUGGCCAUCCUUUUCUUCUUUUUGGAAGGAAUCCUUUACUGUGAGUAAACUGGAGUGCUCAAAACAAGACGUUUGUUUGGUACAUUAAAGCAUGGAAUAAUAAGAUAGGACCUGGUUACUAUUUUGUUGGUUUGCAUAGCUAGGUAAUGAUUAACAGGGACAGUUGGGGGUAUUCGUAUUUAAUUGUCAGAGGUGAAAUUCUUGGAUUUAUGAAAGACGAACGACUGCGAAAGCAUUUACCAAGGAUGUUUNCAUUAA
This 362-nucleotide ribosomal RNA is filed under the name uncultured eukaryote. Its description in RNAcentral is "partial 18S ribosomal RNA". It matches the Rfam family "Eukaryotic small subunit ribosomal RNA", at positions 592 to 976 of the family's 1831-position model. The record is from RNAcentral.